GGUCGCUUAGCUCAGUUGGUUAGAGCGUGGUGCUAAUAGCUGCUUCCGCUAUGAUACGCCAAGGUCGCGAGUUCGACCCUCGUAGUGACCA
Molecule: transfer RNA, 91 nt
Filed under: Clathrospora elynae
Lineage: Eukaryota; Fungi; Ascomycota; Dothideomycetes; Pleosporales; Diademaceae
Rfam family: tRNA
About the family: Transfer RNA (tRNA) molecules are approximately 80 nucleotides in length. Their secondary structure includes four short double-helical elements and three loops (D, anti-codon, and T loops).
Source: Rfam by way of RNAcentral